This is a long non-coding RNA of Scophthalmus maximus (turbot), 2610 nucleotides long. RefSeq lists it as uncharacterized. The transcript is spliced from 3 exons. The record is from RefSeq and is a predicted model, not a curated record. NCBI's taxonomy places the organism in Eukaryota, Metazoa, Chordata, Actinopteri, Pleuronectiformes, Scophthalmidae.
CCCACAACACUGCUCACAACAGUGUGAGUGUUUGUGUGUGUGAGGGCGAAGGUGUGCGUUCACUGCUCUCCUCUGCGGAAGUCUACAAAGAGAAGUCUACAAAGAGAAGUCUGCAAAGAGAAGUCUGCAAAGAGAAGUCUACAAAGAGAAGUCUGCAAAGAGAAGUCUACAAAGAGAAGUCUGCAAAGAGAAGUCUACAAAGAGAAGUCUGCAAAGAGAAGUCUGCAAAGAGAAGUCUACAAAGAGAAGUCUACAAAGAGAAGUCUGCAAAGAGAAGGAGAUUCAAACCGACAGACAGGCGGCUCCAAAAGCAAAAGGAGCCAGUCCACCUAUCCUCGACCUAUCAUUCUCCACUUUCUUUUUGUCAACAACCCCCCCCCCCCCCCCAACAUAAAUAAAUACGAACAAAAACAGCAUGGGUGGAAGCGAUAGUGAGGAGUGGGAUGAAAAGUACCCGGACACAAUGCAAACUCAGCCCAAGAGCCACAAGGACAAGGAGAGCGUGAGCUCCGGGAGGAAAUGUCCCAAGUGCUGCCUGCGGACACGGGACUGUCUGAUGAGCCCCGAGUGCGGCAGGGCGCUGCAGAUCUCCAGCGUCGUCGCCUGGUGCGGGAUGUGCAUCCGCAUGUUUGUGUAACCAGACCUUGGACAUCCUGACCCGCUCUCCCUGGCUUCUUUCAUUCUCAGCGUCCUCCAGCUUUUCGUCACACCAUGGUUUAUUUUUUCUUUCUUUCCAACUCAUCCGCCGAACUCCUUUAGUUCCUUGUCCACAUGUUGCACUAUUCAACAUGACAAACAAUGAAGCCGUUUCUCUGAAAAGCGUGCAGGAAAACAAACAAGGAAGGUAAUAUUCAGUGCCAUUGAAUGGCUGAAGGAAUGUGACUUUAAUGUGCUCAUCUUUGUAAAAGGUUUAUUUGAAAAAAACAUAUCUAAUUGAUCAGUAUUUAGUCAGUGCAGAUGCUGUCAUAUGUCUAUCGUCGAGAGGUUUUCAGUUAUUUAAAAAAAUUGUAAAAAAAUUAUGUUGGUAAUAAAAACUAUGUGAACUUGACUACAUUAUGUUUGGAGGACUUAACCCCAGUAGUUUAACCCCCGUCGCCGUCUUAGAAUAACAGUGACACGACCAGAAAGAUUAGGACCCAUCUAGAGUGAUGAAGACAUUUAUAACCAAACUUUCAGUGACAGCUCUGUAACAAGGACAAAAGUGUGCUCGGUUCAAUGCGACAUGUAAUAGAGACCUGCGGUUAAUUAAAAUGCUUUGACAAGCGCGAUGCGACUUCAUGACAUCAGCGUCAACUCCUUCGUCUGAGGUCGUUCUGGGGGGAAAAAGUUAGUAAUUGCACUGAAAAUAACCAAACCAACAAAGAAUAUAGUUAAUUGUUUUAAUGUCAAGGGGACAUUUACAACGUUGACUUUCACAGAAGCUAGGGCAAGUUGUUUCUCAGACAGGCAACACGUCGCUCAGCCUGUCCGCUGAAGCACGGAGCAGGUUCGGGGCGUCGUCAUUGGGAAACGGAGAAAACAAUCUCAUAUUCGCUCGCUCGCUCUUGCACAUUCAUGCAACAAGAUCAUCCGAUCGUCAGAACAAGAGCGAAACGUGUCAAACAUUUGACCAAAUACGAAGCUAACGACGUUCGGCUGCGCAGGGUCGGCACUGCUCGUGCUUUCAGUUGAACCAGUGUCAUAUAAUCUUCUGAUCGAUAAGCAAUCGAGGAGAGUGAUUGUGAAUAACACAAGAGGUUAAAUAGAGGAUAAGAUGUCAUUGUCAAAAUCAAGAGAAGAAAAAAAGAAAGAAACAACUUGAUGGGUACAGCGACCGCCUAGGAACUCCAGAAUGCCGGAUAAUCACCCUUUGAUUAUUUUGUACUUUCCCAGCUAUGCGCUGCGUGCAAACUAGCAGGCUUCGCCCAACGUACGGUAGUACAGCGCAAACAGAGCAGAACGACAAAUCCCCUGUUGCUUUCCUGUUUGAAGCAGCGGUGAAGCCUCGAAAAAACUCCUCCAAUAGAUUCAUCAUCGGAGCUCAGAGACACAACGAAAGAGCCCAUUACGAACGUGGUUGCGAGAGUAAUACUGAGGUUAAAACCCACGGGGACGAGCGUGGACUCUCUGAGAAUCAUGUGUAGUUAAUCUCUCUCCCUCCUUUGCUUUUUAUUUGGUAUUAUUGUUUCUUUUCCUUUUUCUUUCUUCCUCUAGAGUUCUCCGAUCCUCUGUCUCCCGUCCUGUCGCUGCCUCUUGUGUGCCACCGUGUCAGCGUAUGGCAUCACAAUACAGAGGGUGACAUUUCAAGCAGACAGAUUAGGGCUUCUCUCCAAUUAAUUUUGCUUUCCGUCCCCCUGUUAAAUACACAAUCAACCGAAGGCGAAAUGUCAGUGAAACAAACGAGGAUCCGCCCGCGUAGCUGACAAUUACCCGCCAAGCACCGCAGAAAUGCCAAUAUGUUAAAGUGGGAGCAGUGUGUGAGAUGAAUGGGGACGAAUGGCAAUCUUCGAGGAGGCUUGUUGUUCCGGCGGCGCUGACCGGCGCCAUGUGUGCGCGGUCACCUGCCAUGGUCACACGAUGAAGUGACAGACGACACGUCAGUGGAAAGAUCAAUAAAGGUUUUGAAUCAUA